RNAcentral lists this microRNA (22 nucleotides) under Homo sapiens (human). RNAcentral's name for it is "hsa-miR-7110-3p". The record is from miRBase by way of RNAcentral. Lineage: Eukaryota; Metazoa; Chordata; Mammalia; Primates; Hominidae.
UCUCUCUCCCACUUCCCUGCAG